UCCCAGAUGGUAAAGAAUCUGCCUGUAAUACAGGAGACCCAGGUUUGAUCCCUGGUCUGGGAA
Non-coding RNA from Bos taurus (domestic cattle), 63 nucleotides. The record is from Rfam. Lineage: Eukaryota; Metazoa; Chordata; Mammalia; Artiodactyla; Bovidae.